CUCUGCCUGUAAAUACGCAUGCGCGCGCUCUGGGCCCAGGUUCCCCAUAAAAGGUCUACGCAUACCCGAUGCAGACACUUUCUUUUAAUCAAUAAGGGUGCAGUCACUGUUCUUACCGCGGGCGGCCGUGUCAGAUCACAUCCCAGCUGUGUUAUCAAGAAGCCACCUGAGCGGCUUCCGGUUCAUCCCGUCUGAGGAUGGCUCUCCCAAUCUAAUGCCCUUCCACACUGUCCCACCAAUAGAAAGAAUCCUUCGGCUUCACACGGUCAAGCACCCAGAACCCACUCUGGACACACGAAGCUGAUAGAAGUGGUCAUUGCUGUCACACCCUUACCUUUCUGCUUGUAGGAAAUCCAGGCACCUCUGUGAGAAGUGCCUUGUACUGCCUGAGUAUUGGUGAGGGUGGGGAUAAAUCUGUGCCCUUGGCUGGACAGGGUCUGGUGGGAAAGAACUUCUCUUGUGGGACCAAUCGCCAUCCCCUCCCCCACUCGGCCUUCAAGCAGUGCUACUCAUAAUACACUACAUAGGUGUGCCCUCUCAUUAAUUCUCCCUGGGAACAUUAAACUAAAGCCGUUUUGUUACCUCCCAAGGGAAUGGUAAGCUUAGAGAUGAUAGAGCCAUGACUCAGAGAACCGUGGAAGCCACGGAGGUCUUAUGGUCUGCUUUUCCAAUAAACAUGAGCGGUGGUUCCAACGGCUGUAAAAAAAAAAAAAAAAUGAGUGUGUCUUUGGAUCGGGGAGGCUUCGGGAUUUCCAGCUUCAGCCUGGAAAAGUCAUUUAGAGCCUUUGGGGAGAUAGCUGGAGUGACCCUGGAACACUGAGGAAACUGUUCAAGCCUGAUCUUCUGCCCUUCCCUGAUGGAUGUGGCCCGAGUCUCUGCCCCCCCCCACCCCCAGGUUCACAUCCCUCAGCGCACCUGGGCUCCCGCUAUGCUGCUUCCCCAGGGACAAGCGGUAUCAUUAAUCAAUGUCUUCAGAGUGCACCAGAGUCUUGCUAAGGAGACUUCCCUGGGUCCUAUAAUCUUCUGCCUUGUCAUCUCCCCACAGCCCUUGUCAUCUCCCCACAGCCCUUGUCACCUGUUAAUCAUACCAGUGAAAUGUUUAAUGUUCCGUAAAGGGC
This 1118-nucleotide long non-coding RNA is filed under the name Rattus norvegicus (Norway rat). Its description in RNAcentral is "long non-coding RNA NONRATT013110". Lineage: Eukaryota; Metazoa; Chordata; Mammalia; Rodentia; Muridae. The record is from RNAcentral.